Engraulis encrasicolus (European anchovy) is the source of this 2004-nucleotide long non-coding RNA. RefSeq lists it as uncharacterized. The transcript is spliced from 5 exons. The record is from RefSeq and is a predicted model, not a curated record. NCBI's taxonomy places the organism in Eukaryota, Metazoa, Chordata, Actinopteri, Clupeiformes, Engraulidae.
CAUGAAUAAUUAUGUUUUGUGAUUGGGCAUAAUGAAGUUAUGUAACUUUAGCAUGAUGCCCAAUAACCAACGACUUCCCAAAUCCAGUAAUGUUGUCACAACCUAAUUCCUUUGGAUAAGAUGACCAAUGGCUUUUACAACGCCAGAACAGAUGGUGGCAGUAGUGUGCGGAUUGUGUGUGGCAGCCGGAAACAACGAGCUUGCCGAGUUCUUUGACUGAAUACAUAUCCGCGGACACUCUGAAGGCGGGUAAGUCAAAAAAGUAAACCACUGUAGGGCUGUUUGCAUUUAUCAUGACUUUCCUAGAAUCACAUUUAUAUCACCCGUUUCGUUAGUGUACUUAGUUUUGGCAUCAAGGCAUACGUUUUAUGAGCAAGAGAGUAAGCUUAGCUGGCUAAUUCUCACCAAUUCAAACUGGUUAGCGGCUAAUUAUCGAUAUAGUCUCCUUGUUUUAACUAUUGUUGGGAGUUUGGAAGCUGUCACCCAUGUUGUACUGUAUGCAUAUUUGCAUGUGUGACAUUAUUUUCGGUUACUUUGCGAGUUAUAGCGAAAUAAACUACCUGGCAGCCCAUAACGGGCAGCUAGCUAAUUUAUGCUAGGUGACAACAGCUGGUUCAUUAACGUUGUAUUAGUUCUAUGCAUUGACGUUGCGAGACCCGUGUGCGUCUGAUUUCAAAUGUAUCCAGGACAGUCGUAGAUACCAUCAGUAGCUCUACACACAUCAAUGACACAGGGGAAGUAAAGUUACCGCUGAUUUUUGGUAUUGCUCCGUCUGACUGUGUGUGUACGGCCACAGUAAAUGUUGAUUAGCCGGUGGAACUUUUCGGUUUGAAAAAAGACGAGACGUGAGACUGCGUGACAGAAGGGGCUGUGUGUGCUUGUGUAUGGGUGCGCGUUUGAAUGGGUGCGUCGUGUGUAGAACUAGAUGCUGCAGUUUGCAGCUGGUUUGAUUCAUGUCGUGGGUCACUUACCAAUGUAUGUAGGCCUAAUUGGCUAUGACCUUUGAAAUAGUUGAAAGUAAAUCCCAGUAGUAUCUAGUGAAACACACAUGCAAACGCCCUUCUGUCCCUCAUUCCCUCAAACUCGAUCUUCUACAUUUGUUGUGUAAAAAGGACAUAGCAAGUUUUUUGUAUCAAUGAUCACUUUAGGAUAUUCCAGUGCAUUUACAUUCAAUAUAUACUGUACCUUGAGUGAGGUAGAAAUGCAUAUUGUUGCAAAUAUAAAUACUGUUAAUUUGUUAUUUUUUGUAAUUAAUCAUUUACUGAAUUUCUUUGUAGAAUAUGUUACUAUUAUUUGGGUUUUUGUUCUCUGCAUAACUGUCUCUUUCACCUAUAUUAAUUCCUCAGCAUUCAAGAUGUUUGUAGGGUCCUCACCUCAGCUACCUCUCACAAGGUGCCCCUGAAAAAGAAAUUCAAGACGUUUGGGUCCUCAGCUCAACUGACCAAGACCUUUGCUCAUUGAAGGCAUGAAGUAAUUUGUGAUGCCCCCACGAUUGCAGUUUUUAAAUCCAGAUGGCUUGCUCUUUUUAACAUGUGCGAGAGCUGGAUGGUCUUUCAACAACACUGCUCCGGGUCUUCAGCAAGAAAGGUGCUUCUCAUGCAAGGAAGAUACAGAGGAUCCUGGUGCCCAUGACUCAGGUAAAACAUGCACACUGCCAUGCAUCACAGUAAUGCUAAAAUUUCAAGAUCUAAUGUAAUGGGGAGAAGUAGGGUGUCUUGGAUCAUAUUGCAUUUCUCCCACUAAUUUCAAUCCUUCAGCCAGUUUUGAACUCAUUGUCUUCACCUCAGUUCUAACUACAGCUGGCUUUACACACAGCAGUCCUGGGCAAUGAUAUAACAGUCUUUUGCAGACUGACAACAUUGAUGUGAAGAGGGAGUGCAUGCUGAGGAGCUGACGGUCUACCUGAAUGAAGAGCCAGACAAAGUGGAUGUUGAUCUGGACGGUCCAGCUGAAACGUAUUGUCUUCGUGUGCGUGUGAUCGGCAGAGAGUCCUCAACGACAUUG